CUUUACUGUAGCCUGGUAUUGGGUUCGGGCUUUGACUGCGCAGGAUAGGUGGGAGACUGAGAAGUGUGCCUUGUGGGGCACAUAGAGUCAACGGUGAGAUACCACUCUGUCAGAGCUAGAAUUCUAACCUUCACCCGUGAUCCGGGGAAGGAACCGUAUCAGGUGGGCAGUUUGACUGGGGCGGUCGCCUCCUAAAAGGUAACGGAGGCGCGCAAAGGUGUUCUCAGGCUGGUUGGAAAUCAGCCGUAGAGUGUAAAGGCAGAAGAACGCUUGACUGUGAGAGUGACAACUCAAGCAGGGUGGAAACACGGCCUUAGUGAUCCGACGGUUCCAUGUGGAAGGGCCGUCGCUCAACGGAUAAAAGUUA
Molecule: ribosomal RNA, 367 nt
Filed under: uncultured organism
Description: bacterial LSU rRNA
Rfam family: Bacterial large subunit ribosomal RNA
Source: RNAcentral